Molecule: ribosomal RNA, 253 nt
Filed under: uncultured bacterium
Lineage: Bacteria
Description: partial 16S ribosomal RNA
Rfam family: Bacterial small subunit ribosomal RNA
Source: RNAcentral
UACGUAGGGUGCAAGCGUUAAUCGGAAUUACUGGGCGUAAAGCGUGCGCAGGCGGUUGUUCAAGCCAGAUGUGAAAUCCCCGGGCUCAACCUGGGAACUGCAUUUGUGACUGCACGGCUAGAGUGUGUCAGAGGGGGGUAGAAUUCCACGUGUAGCAGUGAAAUGCGUAGAGAUGUGGAGGAAUACCGAUGGCGAAGGCAGCCCCCUGGGAUAGCACUGACGCUCAUGCACGAAAGCGUGGGGAGCAAACAGG